AACGGAGUUUUAACGGAAGUUUCGGAUGGAAGUUUAGAAACUUAGUGGCGGACGGGUGAGUAACGCGUGGGUAACCUGGCCUCAGUACAGGGGGAUAACAGUUAGAAAUGACUGCUAACACCGCGAUAAUAUAGCGAAACCGCAUGAUUUUGCUAUCAAAUAUUUAUAGGUAUGAGAUGGGCCCGCGUCUGAUUAGCUAGUUGGUGGGGUAAAAGCCUACCAAGGCGACGAUCAGUAGCCGGCUUGAGAGAGUGACCGGCCACAUUGGGACUGAGACACGGCCCAAACUCCUACGGGAGGCAGCAGUGGGGAAUAUUGGACAAUGGGGGAAACCCUGAUCCAGCGAACCGCCGCGUGAGUGAAGAAGUAUUUCGGUAUGUAAAGCUCUAUCAGCAGGGAAGAUAAUGACAGUACCUGACUAAGAAGCCCCGGCUAACUACGUGCCAGCAGCCGC
Molecule: ribosomal RNA, 454 nt
Filed under: uncultured bacterium
Lineage: Bacteria
Description: bacterial SSU rRNA
Rfam family: Bacterial small subunit ribosomal RNA
Source: RNAcentral